Oncorhynchus mykiss (rainbow trout) is the source of this 2020-nucleotide long non-coding RNA. RefSeq lists it as uncharacterized. The record is from RefSeq and is a predicted model, not a curated record. NCBI's taxonomy places the organism in Eukaryota, Metazoa, Chordata, Actinopteri, Salmoniformes, Salmonidae.
GGAAGGACUAUUUAAUUGAUAGAUGAAUUGCAUCUUAUUGGAUUUUUGUUUGUCAAACACCAAACGACAUUAUAGAUUAAAGACCUGUCUAGGUAGAGAAGAAACACAAUUUGAUGAGAAGGAAAAUGUUUCCAACUGUAUUCAGUUAAAGACCUCGGUAAUCAAAGGCAUCAAAAAACAGCUAUUGGACCAGUUUCCAGACAUUGAGUCAAGGCUCAACCAUAUCAUGCCAAAAAAGGACCCUGUCAAAAUAGUGAGAUGCCAUGAACACAUUGAAAUCUUGACAGUGAAUGGAGAAUUGCUCUUCUUCAGACAAAGAGAAGGAUCGUUCUACCCAACUUUCUGACUGCUGCAUAAGUACCCCUUUAUUCUUCCACACCAACAAGUAAAGGGGCCAUCAAGUUUGUCCUAAGUGGAGCCAAUAUCAUGUGCCCUGGAUUGACAUCCCCAGGUGCCAAACUCUACCCUUCUGCCUCAGAAACAGUAGUUGCCAUAAUGGUGGAGGGCAAGCAAUAUGCGCUUGGUGUCGGAGUCAUGAAGAUGUCUGCAGAAAACAUAUUCAAGUUCACCAUCCGCUUCCGCCAUCGUCCUCGAGUCCAUCCACCUUCCAUAGUCUUUCAGAAGGCUGAUAAUAUCCUCAAAAAGUUCUACAACUGCACCAUUGAGCUCCACCAUCUUGACUGGCUGCAUCAUCGCUUGAAAUGACAACUGCUCGGGGCCAAACCAGGAGGAAGGCCCUAAAACUUGUCAGACUCCAACCACCCAAGUCAUAGACUGUUCUCUCUGCUACCGCAUGGCAAGCGAUACCGGAGCACCAAGUCUGUGACCAGAAGGCACCUGAGCAGCUCCUACCCCCAAGCCAUAAGAUUGGUUAAUCAAAUGGCUACCUGGACAAUUUACUUUACACUGACCCCCUCUAAUAUUUAUGCUUGUAAGCAUUUCAUUGUAAAGUUGUACCUGUUGUAUUUGAUGCAUUUGACCAAUACAAUUUUAUUUGAUUUGAUUUAGUCCUCCACUCCAUCCUGCUCUUGGAAUCCUCUUGAUAGCUCAUAUCUGUGGCUUGGGGGGACCAUUGAUUCAUGAAAAAUAUAACUUAUAAUUGCCUCAUGAGCUUAGUUGAACUGUACCUCAUCAGAACCUAAAAUAUAAGCUUGAUUUACUCCAGUGUUUGUAUCAAAGUAAAUGUGAACAAACACUAUAUAGCCUCAAAAGAUGGUUAAAGCUAUCAUUUAGAUGUCAUGGAUGGUCAGUCCUUGCAUCCUAUUGCUCUGUCUAUGAAUUUGAGAGUGGUUGCAUUUCUCCAGCCCCAUCCCUCUUUACCGAAACGGGGGCAGGGAGAAAGCUUAGUUAUUGUUUCAACUGCUGAUUACCGCUUUAAACUAUUUGUGUGACAAUAGUAAAUGUCACUUAUUUCGACACGAACCAGAUACAAUGCCAUUGUACAAACUUUGAAAUGGAUAUCAUCACCAUAACUCAUCAUAUAAUAUUUUAUUUUGUAUAGCCUAAUGUUGAAAUUAGAUUUUGACACAUCAUAAUUGUUUUUUCAUUUUGAAAUUGAGUAAUACAAUAUUCUAUGAUGGAAGUCUAGUCCUGCUUGUUUUCAUGACUAUUUUUUCAUCACUAUUUUUCACCUAAGAAUGAGCAGAUGAGAUGAUGUAUAGAGGUAAGAUCAAGACACCAGAUUGUUUUCAACAGCAAUUUCUGAAACCUGUAGACAACCAUAUGACAACCUUAUAAAUCACUUACAACAUUCUGGGCCUUUUGAUCAUACUCCUAUUUCCUGUUAUUAAAAACCUUUCAUUUUGACAAAGAGACCUUAAAACCUCUUUGACACACCACACACUACGUCAUACUUUGUACCCUAUUGAACUUUUCUCUGAUCUUUUUUUCAACAAUCACUAAGGUUAUAUAUGAUCAAGGUUGUGUGAAAUGUAAAUGAUAGGAUGGUUUUGCAAAUACAUAUACAAUAAUACUUAAUUUGUUAUGUAUAACAUUCAACAGGCUUCCCAUAUAAACUGAC